Molecule: non-coding RNA, 164 nt
Filed under: bovine gut metagenome
Description: Lysine riboswitch
Rfam family: Lysine riboswitch aptamer
About the family: Riboswitches are metabolite binding domains within certain messenger RNAs that serve as precision sensors for their corresponding targets. Allosteric rearrangement of mRNA structure is mediated by ligand binding, and this results in modulation of gene expression.
Source: RNAcentral
AAGAUAGAGGCGCGGAAUUCAUCAUUACCUGUCCGGAGUCAGCGGAUGACAGAGAUGUACAGGGAAAGGGAAGUCCGCCGAAGCGUAAAGGAAGCCGCGGCCCUUACGCUGGGCGCCGGGAUAAGAUGCCGGCGACUGUCACAGUUUAUGUGGAGAGCUGUCGU